RNAcentral lists this ribosomal RNA (300 nucleotides) under uncultured Haliangium sp. RNAcentral describes it as "bacterial SSU rRNA". It matches the Rfam family "Bacterial small subunit ribosomal RNA", at positions 496 to 795 of the family's 1533-position model. The record is from RNAcentral. Lineage: Bacteria; Pseudomonadati; Myxococcota; Haliangiales; Kofleriaceae.
GCUCGCGGCGUGGCUGGUUCCGCGUUGACACGUAGUGGGUAAGUGUUGUUCGGAAGUAUGUGGCGUGAAGUGCGCUUUGGUGGUUUGUUAAUGGUGCUGUGAAAACCGAGGGCGUAACCGGGUGCUUGCAGUGGAAACGGGCGGACUAGAGGAAUGUAGGGGGGAAGGUAAUUCCUGGUGUAGCGGUGAAAUGCGCAGAUAUCAGUAGGAACACCGGUGGCGAAGGCGAUUCUCUGGGCCUUACCUGACACUGAGGAGCGAAAGCGUGGGGAGCAAACAGGAUUAGAUACCCUGGUAGUC